This 394-nucleotide RNase P RNA is filed under the name Glycomyces paridis. RNAcentral describes it as "Bacterial RNase P class A". It matches the Rfam family "Bacterial RNase P class A". Rfam says of the family: Ribonuclease P (RNase P) is a ubiquitous endoribonuclease, found in archaea, bacteria and eukarya as well as chloroplasts and mitochondria. Its best characterised activity is the generation of mature 5'-ends of tRNAs by cleaving the 5'-leader elements of precursor-tRNAs. Cellular RNase Ps are ribonucleoproteins. The record is from Rfam by way of RNAcentral. Lineage: Bacteria; Bacillati; Actinomycetota; Actinomycetes; Glycomycetales; Glycomycetaceae.
CGAGAUGGCCAGGCGGUCGCGGCAGUGACGGGUGACCUUCACUGGCGAGGAACGUCCGGGCUCCACAGGGCAGGGUGGUCGCUAACGGCGACCCGGGGCGACCCGCGGGACAGUGCCACAGAGAACAGACCGCCGGCUUCGGCCGGUAAGGGUGAAACGGUGGUGUAAGAGACCACCAGCGCCGCCGGUGACGGCGGCGGCUCGGUAAACCCCACCCGGAGCAAGGUCAAGAGGGGCCGCGAGGCCCUGCGCGAAGGUCCGAGGGCGGCCCGCCCGACACGCGCCGCGACGCGGCGCGCACCUUCGCGGGUAGACCGCUCGAGCACGUCGGCAACGGCGCGCCUAGAUGGAUGACCGCUCUCGACAGAACCCGGCGUACCGGCCGUCUCGUCCC